RNAcentral lists this ribosomal RNA (829 nucleotides) under Providencia rettgeri. RNAcentral's name for it is "partial 23S ribosomal RNA". It matches the Rfam family "Bacterial large subunit ribosomal RNA", at positions 413 to 1239 of the family's 2925-position model. The record is from RNAcentral. Lineage: Bacteria; Pseudomonadati; Pseudomonadota; Gammaproteobacteria; Enterobacterales; Morganellaceae.
UAGGGCGGGACACGUGUUAUCCUGUCUGAAUAUGGGGGGACCAUCCUCCAAGGCUAAAUACUCCUGAUUGACCGAUAGUGAACCAGUACCGUGAGGGAAAGGCGAAAAGAACCCCGGCGAGGGGAGUGAAAUAGAACCUGAAACCGUGUACGUACAAGCAGUGGGAGCCUUGAUUUAUCAGGGUGACUGCGUACCUUUUGUAUAAUGGGUCAGCGACUUAUAUUCUGUAGCAAGGUUAACCGUAUAGGGGAGCCGUAGGGAAACCGAGUCUUAACUGGGCGAAUGAGUUGCAGGGUAUAGACCCGAAACCCGGUGAUCUAGCCAUGGGCAGGUUGAAGGUUGGGUAACACUAACUGGAGGACCGAACCGACUAAUGUUGAAAAAUUAGCGGAUGACUUGUGGCUGGGGGUGAAAGGCCAAUCAAACCGGGAGAUAGCUGGUUCUCCCCGAAAGCUAUUUAGGUAGCGCCUCGUGAACUCAUCUUCGGGGGUAGAGCACUGUUUCGACUAGGGGGUCAUCCCGACUUACCAACUCGAUGCAAACUACGAAUACCGAAGAAUGUUAUCACGGGAGACACACGGCGGGUGCUAACGUUCGUCGUGAAGAGGGAAACAACCCAGACCGCCAGCUAAGGUCCCAAAGUCAUAGUUAAGUGGGAAACGAAGUGGGAAGGCUCAGACAGCCAGGAUGUUGGCUUAGAAGCAGCCAUCAUUUAAAGAAAGCGUAAUAGCUCACUGGUCGAGUCGGCCUGCGCGGAAGAUGUAACGGGGCUAAACUAUGCACCGAAGCUGCGGCAGCGAUAUGUAAAUAUUGUUGGGUAGGGGAGCGU